AUCCGGAGGGAGCUAGCGUUGUUCGGAAUUACUGGGCGUAAAGCGCACGUAGGCGGACUGGUCAGUUAGGGGUGAAAUCCCAGGGCUUAACCCUGGAACUGCCUCUAAUACUGCCAGUCUUGAGUUCGGGAGAGGUGAGUGGAAUUCCUAGUGUAGAGGUGAAAUUCGUAGAUAUUAGGAAGAACACCAGUGGCGAAGGCGGCUCACUGGACCGAUACUGACGCUGAGGCGCGAAAGCGUGGGGAGCAAACAGGAUUAGAAACCCCAGUAGUCC
RNAcentral lists this ribosomal RNA (274 nucleotides) under uncultured bacterium. Its description in RNAcentral is "partial 16S ribosomal RNA". It matches the Rfam family "Bacterial small subunit ribosomal RNA", at positions 523 to 796 of the family's 1533-position model. The record is from RNAcentral.